RNAcentral lists this ribosomal RNA (253 nucleotides) under uncultured bacterium. Its description in RNAcentral is "partial 16S ribosomal RNA". It matches the Rfam family "Bacterial small subunit ribosomal RNA", at positions 524 to 776 of the family's 1533-position model. The record is from RNAcentral.
UACAGAGGGUGCGAGCGUUGUUCGGAAUUAUUGGGCGUAAAGGGCGCGUAGGCGGCGCGGUAAGUCACCUGUGAAAUCUCCUGGCUCAACUGGGAGCUUGCAGGCGAAACUGCCGUGCUGGAGUGUGGGAGAGGUGCGUGGAAUUCCUGGUGUAGCGGUGAAAUGCGUAGAUAUCUGGAGGAACACCGGUGGCGAAGGCGGCAUUCUGGACCAUAACUGACACUGAGAGACGAAAGCCAGGGGAGCAAACGGG